This 373-nucleotide long non-coding RNA is filed under the name Capsicum annuum. Its description in RNAcentral is "long non-coding RNA (CANN_LNC018252)". Lineage: Eukaryota; Viridiplantae; Streptophyta; Magnoliopsida; Solanales; Solanaceae. The record is from RNAcentral.
AUUGUUCCUCUUCACUCAAUCCAUCUUCUACUAGCCACGUCUACAAUUUAUCGCCUCAAAAUCAAUCAAUCAAGAACUUCCUAAUGUUUGAAUUAUCAAGAUUAUAUGUUAUACCUUUGAAACACCGGUGCUUCCCGACAAGAUCAAGUUAGUUGCAUCCUCAGGGGUAAACUUUUCUUUAAGUCUCUCGUACUCCUCUUCAUCUAACAUGACAACCUGUAUAUGUAAACAGAACUUUGCGAUGAAUGGAUGAAACUAAAUGAAAACCAAAAUCAAGGAGCUAAUUAAGAGAUUAAUAUUGAGUUCAAUUUCUAAGCGCUGACGACGUAUACCUGAAUUCCUCGUUGGCACAAGGCGAGAGCAAUGGAGUAAG